This 484-nucleotide ribosomal RNA is filed under the name uncultured bacterium. RNAcentral describes it as "partial 16S ribosomal RNA". It matches the Rfam family "Bacterial small subunit ribosomal RNA", at positions 30 to 507 of the family's 1533-position model. The record is from RNAcentral.
AUUGAACGCUGGCGGCAGGCCUAACACAUGCAAGUCGAGCGGAUGAAGGGAGCUUGCUCCUGGAUUCAGCGGCGGACGGGUGAGUAAUGCCUAGGAAUCUGCUUAGUAGUGGGGGAUAACGUCAGGACACCGGCGCUAAUACCGCAUACGUCCUGAGUGAGAAAGUGGGGCAUCUUCGGACCUCACGCUAUCAGAUGACCCUAGGUCGGAUUAGCUCGUUGUUGGGGUAUAGGCCUACCAAGGCGACGAUCCGUAACUGGUGUGAGUGGAUGAUCAGUCACACUGGAACUGAGAAACGGUCCAGACUCCUACGGGAGGCGGCAGUGGGGAAUAUUGGACAAUGAGCGGAAGCCUGAUCCAGCCAUGCCGCGGGGGGGAAGAAGGUCUUCGGAUUGUAGAGCACUUUAAGUUGGGGUGAAGGGCAGUAAGUUAAUACCUUGCUGGUUUGACGUUACCAACAGAAUAAGCACCGGCUAACUUCGUG